RNAcentral lists this ribosomal RNA (253 nucleotides) under uncultured bacterium. RNAcentral's name for it is "partial 16S ribosomal RNA". It matches the Rfam family "Bacterial small subunit ribosomal RNA", at positions 524 to 776 of the family's 1533-position model. The record is from RNAcentral.
GACGAACCGUGCGAACGUUGUUCGGAUUCACUGGGCUUAAAGGGCGCGUAGGCGGGUCAACAAGUCAGGGGAGAAAGCUUUCGGCUCAACCGGAAAAGUGCCUUUGAUACUGUUGAUCUGGAGUGAGGGAGGGGCAUGCGGAACAGUGGGUGGAGCGGUGAAAUGCGUAGUAUUCCACUGGAACGCCGGUGACGAAAGCGGCGUGCUGGAACUCGACUGCAGCUGAGGCGCCAAAGCUAGGGGAGCAAACGGG